GGGUUGUGAGGUUAAGCGACUAAGCGUACACGGUGGAUGCCCUGGCAGUCAGAGGCGAUGAAGGGCGUACUAAUCUGCGAUAAGCGCCGGUAAGGUGAUAUGAACCGUUAUAACCGGCGAUACCCGAAUGGGGAAACCCAGUGUGAUUCGUCACACUAUCAUUAACUGAAUCCAUAGGUUAAUGAGGCGAACCGGGGGAACUGAAACAUCUAAGUACCCCGAGGAAAAGAAAUCAACCGAGAUUCCCCCAGUAGCGGCGAGCGAACGGGGAGGAGCCCAGAGCCUGAAUCAGCAUGUGUGUUAGUGGAAGCGUCUGGAAAGGCGCGCGAUACAGGGUGACAGCCCCGUACACAAAAGCGCAUGUGCUGUGAGCUCGAUGAGUAGGGCGGGACACGUGGUAUCCUGUCUGAAUAUGGGGGGACCAUCCUCCAAGGCUAAAUACUCCUGACUGACCGAUAGUGAACCAGUACCGUGAGGGAAAGGCGAAAAGAACCCCGGCGAGGGGAGUGAAAAAGAACCUGAAACCGUGUACGUACAAGCAGUGGGAGCCCCACCACCAAAGCAUUUGCUG
This 571-nucleotide ribosomal RNA is filed under the name Salmonella enterica subsp. enterica serovar Enteritidis. RNAcentral's name for it is "partial 23S ribosomal RNA". It matches the Rfam family "Bacterial large subunit ribosomal RNA", at positions 1 to 590 of the family's 2925-position model. The record is from RNAcentral. Lineage: Bacteria; Pseudomonadati; Pseudomonadota; Gammaproteobacteria; Enterobacterales; Enterobacteriaceae.